CGCAGCCGCGGUAAUUCCAGCUCCAAUAGCGUAUAUUAAAGUUGCUGCAGUUAAAAAGCUCGUAGUUGAAUUUCGGGACCAUCAUGUCGGUCGUGCCUCGGUACGUACUGGCAUUGUUGGUUUCUACCUUCUGACGAACCAUGAUGUCAUUUAUUUGGUGUCGUGGGAAAUCAGGACUGUUACUUUGAAAAAAUUAGAGUGUUUAAAGCAGGCUCACGCUUGAAUACAUUAGCAUGGAAUAAUGAAAUAGGACGUUUGAUUCUAUUUUGUUGGUUUCUAGGAUCGACGUAAUGAUUAAUAGGGAUAGUUGGGGGCAUUAGUAUUCAAUUGUCAGAGGUGAAAUUCUUGGAUUUAUUGAAGACUAACUACUGCGAAAGCAUUUGCCAAGGAUGUUUUCAUUAAUCAAGAACGAAAGUUAGGGGAUCGAAGACGAUCAGAUACCGUCGUAGUCUUAACCAUAAACUAUGCCGACUAGGGAUCGGAUGAUGUUAAUUUUUAAUGACUCAUUCGGCGCCUUAAC
RNAcentral lists this unclassified non-coding RNA (520 nucleotides) under uncultured Glomus. Its description in RNAcentral is "SSU rRNA". It matches the Rfam family "Eukaryotic small subunit ribosomal RNA", at positions 569 to 1092 of the family's 1831-position model. The record is from RNAcentral. Lineage: Eukaryota; Fungi; Glomeromycota; Glomeromycetes; Glomerales; Glomeraceae.